RNA transcript from Cucumis melo (muskmelon), 1714 nucleotides. It is a transcript of the gene named transcription factor LRL2-like, with no coding region annotated. NCBI's taxonomy places the organism in Eukaryota, Viridiplantae, Streptophyta, Magnoliopsida, Cucurbitales, Cucurbitaceae. The transcript has 9 exons. The record is from RefSeq and is a predicted model, not a curated record.
CAUCAUUGUCGCACUCUGUCCCUCCACGCUCUCCGUCCUCCUCUCCCUUCUCCUUCAUCCUCCUCGUCUCGCCAUUGUUUACCCUAACAAUAAAUAUCUUCACUCAUUACUUCUUAAAGAUGAUCGUUCAUGAAGUUGGAUUCAAAUGUAGUAAAAAUGGAAGGACAAAAUGGCUGCAAUAACUCUGUACGAAUGCUCUCUCUCAACUUUGGUGCGAAUGUCAACAUUGUUUCCCAAGCACGUAGAGAUUUUACAAACCAUCACCAUGUUUUGCCUGCUGAUAGGAAUGUAAACCAAACCAACAUCCCCCACUUAACUGAGUGGACUCAAGCUGCUAAAACGUCUCCGGCCUUUGUUGAGUUUAUUGCUGACACUUCAAACUUUUCUCGAGAGACAUCAACCAAAGAUGUGAUAGCAGUUGUUCCCAGUACUGUUCAAACUAUAAAUGGAGUCUCAGAGCUUCGUAGCAAAAUUUCAUACAAUCAUCUCGCAGGUUCAUACAAUUCAAAACCUACUGAUUCACGGAAUAAUGCACGGGGCACUCUAUCCAAAUCACGUCCCAGUUCAUCAAGCAAGAGAGGUUAUUCAGCUGAUCGUCAACGCAAGAUGAGGAUAGCUGAAAGACUUGAAGCAUUGCUGGAACUGCUACCUCCUUCUAAGGAAAAUCAAGCAUCUGCUCUGGAUGAUGCCAUUGACCAUAUCAAGUACUUACAGCUUCGAAUAAAGGUAAUGGCUGACAAGAAAACAUUAGUCACAUCGGGGAUGAUUUCUAUGAUGCCAAAAGUAACUAAAAACAAGUUAAAUGGAUCAAAUUAGGAGCAUUGAGAUGGAUGAACACAUCAAGGAAGAGCCACCAACUGUUGCUGCUAAAAAGAUUUGUUUGCGGGACGAUUCAAGAAUGCUUCUACGAAUAAAAAAUACAAUUGACCUUGAAAUCAUGGAACUAGUAAAUAAUUGCAAAUCAGUAAUGUUUGAUGUUUGUAAGACUAUCAACUUGAUCAUGGAGAAAAGUCUCUCUCGGGUUACUUUAUGGAGGUCAAAAGUACGUGUGCAGAAUUCAAUGCAUUGAUGCCAAUUAGCACUGAUCCAAAAGUUCUCAUGGCUCAACGUGAACAAUUGUUCAUCAUGAGUUUCUUAGUUGGUCUUGCACCUAAAUAUGAGAUGGCCAAAGAUCAUGAAGUCUAGCUCAAAAAUCUCAUGUUGGGAUAAGCUUAUACUCGAAUACUUUGUACAGAGAAGCCACGAGCAGUUAUAUGAUCUGAUUCUAGCAGUGGUUUGAUUGGGAGCACAAAUGACUAUAGAGGUAAUAACGGGGUUGAAUCAAAUAGCUCUAAAGGUUAUCCCAAUAACCAACAAACGAAUUCUGGAGCUGUUGUUUGCUAUUGGUCAACCUUGCCAUACCAAACGCAAGUGUAAAAGAUUGUUGAACAGGGGUCAAAGGGUGCCAUAUGCAAAUGUUGCUUCUACUCCUGAUAGUCCUGACAGGUCAAUUACCAAUUUCUUUAUAGGAGUUUGCUAAGUUUCAAAAGUAUCAAGAGUCAUUGACAACAUCGUCUUCUACUCCCGUUACUAUUAUCGCAAAGACAGGACUUAAGUCAGAGCAAACUAGGAGGAGAAUUAUCUUCUGAGCCUUUCAUAUUCGUUGAGGGAUAUGGUCAUUACAUGAACCAUCAAGAGAUGCAGAUCAGUGAGCCACUUGAGGAGAUGGUGGGAA